UGGGCGCAGCCUGAUGCAGCCAUGCCGCGUGUGUGAAGAAGGCCUUCGGGUUGUAAAGCACUUUCAGCAAGGAGGAAAGGUUGUAAGUUAAUACCUUCCAUCUGUGACGUUACUUGCAGAAGAAGCACCGGCUAACUCCGUGCCAGCAGCCGCGGUAAUACGGAGGGUGCGAGCGUUAAUCGGAAUUACUGGGCGUAAAGCGUACGCAGGCGGUUUGUUAAGCGAGAUGUGAAAGCCCCGGGCUUAACCUGGGAACUGCAUUUCGAACUGGCAGGCUAGAGUGUGAUAGAGGGUGGUAGAAUUUCAGGUGUAGCGGUGAAAUGCGUAGAGAUCUGAAGGAAUACCGAUGGCGAAGGCAGCCACCUGGGUCAACACUGACGCUCAUGUACGAAAGCGUGGGGAGCAAACAGGAUUAGAUACCCUGGUAGUCCACGCCGUAAACGAUGUCUACUAGGAGCUCGGCUUUUCGGAGCUGUUUUCCAAAGCAAACGCAUUAAGUAGACCGCCUGGGGAGUACGGCCGCAAGGUUAAAACUCAAAUGAAUUGACGGGGGCCCGCACAAGCGGUGGAGCAUGUGGUUUAAUUCGAUGCAACGCGAAGAACCUUACCUACACUUGACAUCCAGAGAACUUUCUAGAGAUAGAUUGGUGCCUUCGGGAACUCUGAGACAGGUGCUGCAUGGCUGUCGUCAGCUCGUGUUGUGAGAUGUUGGGGUUAAGUCCCGCAACGAGCGCAACCCCUAUCCUUAGUUGCCAGCGAUUCGGUCGGGAACUCUAAAGAGACUGCCGGUGAUAAACCGGAGGAAGGUGGGGGACGACGUCAAGUCAUCAUGGCCCUUA
This 839-nucleotide ribosomal RNA is filed under the name Pseudoalteromonas sp. YCWB32. RNAcentral's name for it is "bacterial SSU rRNA". It matches the Rfam family "Bacterial small subunit ribosomal RNA", at positions 372 to 1204 of the family's 1533-position model. The record is from RNAcentral. Lineage: Bacteria; Pseudomonadati; Pseudomonadota; Gammaproteobacteria; Alteromonadales; Pseudoalteromonadaceae.